CGCCUCGGGAGGGGCCUGCGGGCUAUCAGCUUGUUGGUGGGGUAAUGGCCUACCAAGGCUAAGACGGCUAGGGGGCGUGAGAGCGCGACCCCCCACAAUGGAACUGACACACGGUCCAUACUCCUACGGGAGGCAGCAGUGAGGAAUAUUGGUCAAUGGGCGCAAGCCUGAACCAGCAACGCCGCGUGGAUGAUGAAGGCCUUCGGGUUGUAAAAUCCUUUUCUGAGGGACGAUAAUGACGGUACCUCAGGAAUAAGUCCCGGCUAACUACGUGCCAGCAGCCGCGGUAAAACGUAGGGGGCGAGCGUUAUCCGGAUUUAUUGGGCGUAAAGCGCACGUAGGUGGCGCUGUAAGUUGGACGUGAAAGCUCCUGGCUCAACUGGGAGAGGUCGUUCAAAACUGCAGUGCUUGAGGUUGGAAGAGGAGAGUGGAAUUCCCGGUGUAGUGGUGGAAUGCGUAGAUAUCGGGAGGAACACCAGUGGCGAAAGCGACUCUCUGGUCCACACCUGACACUGAGGUGCGAAAGCGUGGGGAGCAAACGGGAUUAGAU
This 550-nucleotide ribosomal RNA is filed under the name uncultured bacterium. RNAcentral describes it as "bacterial SSU rRNA". It matches the Rfam family "Bacterial small subunit ribosomal RNA", at positions 216 to 783 of the family's 1533-position model. The record is from RNAcentral.